RNAcentral lists this ribosomal RNA (522 nucleotides) under Trigonopterus armipes. RNAcentral describes it as "partial 16S ribosomal RNA". Lineage: Eukaryota; Metazoa; Arthropoda; Insecta; Coleoptera; Curculionidae. The record is from RNAcentral.
CCGGUUUAAACUCAGAUCAUGUAAAGCUUAAAAGGUCGAACAGACCUAGCUUAUCAGCUUYUACMCCAAUAAUUAACUUUAAUCCAACAUCGAGGUCGCAAUCCUUUUUUUCAAUAAGAACUCUAAAAAAAAUUACGCUGUUAUCCCUAAGGUAAUUUAUUCUUUUAAUCUCAAUCUAAGGAUCACAUACCUAUGCAUCUAUAUAAAAAUAAAAAAAAGUUAUUUCAAUUUUUUUAUCACCCCAAUAAAAUUAAUACAAACAAAUUUAAAUUUAAAUUCCCAAUUUCAAAUAUUAUUAUAUUAAUAAAACUCUAUAGGGUCUUCUCGUCUUUCAUAAAAAUUUAAGCUUUUUCACUUAAAAAUAAAAUUUUAAUAAACUUUGCUAGAGACAGAUAAUUUUUCAUCAAACCAUUCAUACAAGCUUUUAAUUAAAAAACUAGUGACUAUGCUACCUUUGCACGGUCAAUAUACCGCGGCCAUUCAAUUACUUCAGUGGGCAGGUCAAACUUGAAAUCAUUUUCA